UACAGAGGGGGCAAGCGUUAUUCGGAAUUAUUGGGCGUAAAGGGCGCGUAGGCGGCCUUGCAAGUGGCGGGUGAAAUCCCUCGGCUUAACCGAGGAACUGCCUGCCAGACUGCAAGGCUCGAGACCGGGAGAGGUGAGUGGAAUUCCCAGUGUAGCGGUGAAAUGCGCAGAUAUCAGGAGGAACACCGGUGGCGAAGGCGGGUCUCUGGGCCGAUACUGACGCUGAGGAGCGAAAGCGUGGGGAGCGAACAGG
This 253-nucleotide ribosomal RNA is filed under the name uncultured bacterium. RNAcentral's name for it is "partial 16S ribosomal RNA". It matches the Rfam family "Bacterial small subunit ribosomal RNA", at positions 524 to 776 of the family's 1533-position model. The record is from RNAcentral.